GUCUUUAAGAAAAUAUUUUAAAGUCUGACCUGCUCAAUGAAUAUUUAAAUAGCUGCGGUAUCAUGACCGUACAAAGGUAGCACAAUCAAUAGUUUUUUAAUUAAAAGCUGGAAUGAAAGGUUUGAUGAAAUAUAUACUGUCUUAAGUUAAAAUAUUAAAAUUUUUUUUUUAGUAAAAAAACUAAAAUAAUUUUAUAAGACGAGAAGACCCUAUAGAUUUUUAUAAUUUUAGUAUUAAUAAAUUAAUUUAAUUAAUUUUAUUUUAAAUAAUAAGUUAUUUGGUUGGGGAGAUUAUUAAAUUUAAUUAACUUUAAUUAUUUUUGACAAUAAUUAUUGGUUUAAUGAACUAAAAAUUUUAAUUGGAGAUUAAAAUACCUUAGGGAUAACAGCGUAAUUUU
Molecule: ribosomal RNA, 397 nt
Filed under: Masona sp. BIOUG22514-D02
Lineage: Eukaryota; Metazoa; Arthropoda; Insecta; Hymenoptera; Ichneumonidae
Description: partial 16S ribosomal RNA
Source: RNAcentral